UCCUCGUUAUAACACAACACCUUUCUUUAUUUGGUUACUAGUCUUCCAUGUGACACAAGAAGACACUUGGGAUGAAAACUAAUCAGGUUUUUCUCGUUUAUGAUUUGUAUUUGUAUCUUUUAAUAUGUUUUUAUGUCAUUUUAUUUAAAUUUUUAUGUUAUGAAAUGCAAUCAUUCAACUUCUAAAAAAAAAAAAAAUUAAGAACCUCUAAGAAGUUUUCUCAUUGGACCAUGAAAAAAUAAAUUACACUAAUAAAUAUUCUAAACUUUUCAAAUCACACAAUUAACUAUUAAAUUAGUCAUUAGAACCCCUAAUGGGUUCUUACCAUUGGAGUUAAUCUUAUGUUCCUUUUUGGAGAACUCUAUUUGGAGAACUUGUGCCUAAUAAAUUUGGUAAACCGAAAUUGCUUUAUCGAACAAAAUAUUUGUUCCUCUGAGUUCUAAUAUCUGAUUGAAAUAUUGAUCAGGUAUAAUAGGAAACAAUUGAGAUUACAAUCAAAAUGUCUUGUCUGGCACAAUGGUUUAGCAUCUAAUUUGGUAUUCUUCUAACCUAGGUUCGUAUCUCCCCCUC
This 570-nucleotide long non-coding RNA is filed under the name Brassica napus (rape). RNAcentral's name for it is "long non-coding RNA (BNAP_LNC019494)". The record is from RNAcentral. Lineage: Eukaryota; Viridiplantae; Streptophyta; Magnoliopsida; Brassicales; Brassicaceae.